GCAUCGGUGGUUCAGUGGUAGAAUGCUCGCCUGCCACGCGGGCGCCCGGUUCGAUUCCCGGCCGAUGCA
RNAcentral lists this transfer RNA (69 nucleotides) under Trichonephila clavata. It matches the Rfam family "tRNA". Rfam says of the family: Transfer RNA (tRNA) molecules are approximately 80 nucleotides in length. Their secondary structure includes four short double-helical elements and three loops (D, anti-codon, and T loops). The record is from Rfam by way of RNAcentral. Lineage: Eukaryota; Metazoa; Arthropoda; Arachnida; Araneae; Nephilidae.